ACGGGAGGCAGCAGUGGGGGAUAUUGCACAAUGGGGGAAACCCUGAUGCAGCGACGCCGCGUGAGUGAAGAAGUAUUUCGGUAUGUAAAGCUCUAUCAGCAGGGAAGAAAAUGACGGUACCUGACUAAGAGGCUCCGGCUAAAUACGUGCCAGCAGCCGCGGUAAUACGUAUGGAGCAAGCGUUAUCCGGAUUUACUGGGUUUAAAGGGAGCGUAGACGGUUUGCCAAGUCUGAUGUGAAAGCUUGGGGCUCAACCCCGGAACUGCAGUGGAAACUGGUAGACUAGAGUGUCGGAGAGGUAAGUGGAAUUCCUAGUGUAGCGGUGAAAUGCGUAGAUAUUAGGAGGAACACCAGUGGCGAAGGCGGCUUACUGGACGAUAACUGACGUUGAGGCUCGAAAGCGUGGGGAGCAAACAGGAUUAGAUACCCUGGUA
RNAcentral lists this ribosomal RNA (434 nucleotides) under uncultured Lachnospiraceae bacterium. RNAcentral describes it as "partial 16S ribosomal RNA". It matches the Rfam family "Bacterial small subunit ribosomal RNA", at positions 341 to 792 of the family's 1533-position model. Lineage: Bacteria; Bacillati; Bacillota; Clostridia; Lachnospirales; Lachnospiraceae. The record is from RNAcentral.